UACAGAGGGUGCGAGCGUUAUCCGGAUUCACUGGGUUUAAAGGGAGCGUAGGUGGGCUGGUAAGUCAGUGGUGUAAUCCCCGAGCUUAACUUGGGAACUGCCAUUGAUACUAUCAGUCUUGAAUACUGUGGAGGUUAGCGGAAUAUGUCAUGUAGCGGUGAAAUGCUUAGAUAUGACAUAGAAGACCAAUUGCGAAGGCAGCUGGCUACACAAAUAUUGACACUGAGGCUCGAAAGCGUGGGGAUCAAACAGG
This 253-nucleotide ribosomal RNA is filed under the name uncultured bacterium. Its description in RNAcentral is "partial 16S ribosomal RNA". It matches the Rfam family "Bacterial small subunit ribosomal RNA", at positions 524 to 776 of the family's 1533-position model. The record is from RNAcentral.